UGGCGAACGGGUGAGUAACACGUGGGUGAUCUGCCCUGCACUUCGGGAUAAGCUUGGGAAACUGGGUCUAAUACCGGAUAGGAGCCAUCUUUAGUGUGGUGGUUGGAAAGUUUUUUCGGUGUAGGAUGAGCUCGCGGCCUAUCAGCUUGUUGGUGGGGUAAUGGCCUGCCAAGGCGGCGACGGGUAGCCGGCCUGAGAGGGUGUACGGCCACAUUGGGACUGAGAUACGGCCCAG
This 235-nucleotide ribosomal RNA is filed under the name uncultured Actinomycetales bacterium. RNAcentral's name for it is "partial 16S ribosomal RNA". It matches the Rfam family "Bacterial small subunit ribosomal RNA", at positions 96 to 334 of the family's 1533-position model. The record is from RNAcentral. Lineage: Bacteria; Bacillati; Actinomycetota; Actinomycetes; Actinomycetales.